Molecule: ribosomal RNA, 651 nt
Filed under: Staphylococcus epidermidis
Lineage: Bacteria; Bacillati; Bacillota; Bacilli; Caryophanales; Staphylococcaceae
Description: bacterial SSU rRNA
Rfam family: Bacterial small subunit ribosomal RNA
Source: RNAcentral
GGGCGAAAGCCUGACGGAGCAACGCCGCGUGAAUGGUGAAGGUCUUCGGAUCGUAAAACUCUGUUAUUAGGGAAGAACAAAUGUGUAAGUAACUAUGCACGUCUUGACGGUACCUAAUCAGAAAGCCACGGCUAACUACGUGCCAGCAGCCGCGGUAAUACGUAGGUGGCAAGCGUUAUCCGGAAUUAUUGGGCGUAAAGCGCGCGUAGGCGGUUUUUUAAGUCUGAUGUGAAAGCCCACGGCUCAACCGUGGAGGGUCAUUGGAAACUGGAAAACUUGAGUGCAGAAGAGGAAAGUGGAAUUCCAUGUGUAGCGGUGAAAUGCGCAGAGAUAUGGAGGAACACCAGUGGCGAAGGCGACUUUCUGGUCUGUAACUGACGCUGAUGUGCGAAAGCGUGGGGAUCAAACAGGAUUAGAUACCCUGGUAGUCCACGCCGUAAACGAUGAGUGCUAAGUGUUAGGGGGUUUCCGCCCCUUAGUGCUGCAGCUAACGCAUUAAGCACUCCGCCUGGGGAGUACGACCGCAAGGUUGANACUCAAAGGAAUUGACNGGGACCCGCACAAGCNGUGGAGCAUGUGGUNUAAUUCGAAGCAACGCGAAAGAACCUUACCAAANUCUNGACAUCCUCUGACCCCUCUAGAGAUANAGGU